AGCCAAGAGCGGAGAAGCUGAGCCGACACUGCCACCUGAUCCCAUCCAGGCGCGGAGAAGCGAGCGACCAGCACUCUGCUCGCAGGGCCCCCAGCGCCCUCGGCCGGAGAGCGGAUUUCGCGGCAAGAAUUGGGAAGUAGCGGCGACCACCCCAGCCCGGGUCAGGCGGAGCUCGCUCAGCGCCUCACACAGGAACACUGGCCCUGCUACCGGAGCCCCAGGAGCCCCCAUGAGCGCCGGCGAAGGGAGUCCUGGAUAGCAAGGCCCUGGCUGGUCCAGGAUUGGGUUACCCCAUCAUGCCACCCAUCCUCCAGCGCCUGCAGCAGGCCACCAAGAUGAUGAGCCGCAGGAAAAUCCUGCUGCUGGUGCUGGGAUGCAGCACCUUAAGCCUCCUCAUCCACCAGGGGGCACAGCUCAGCUGGUAAGGGGGUGGGGCCUCUUGAGGGGGUGGGGCCAGAAGUUGGGUUCUGCCGGAAGGCAGCUGCCUGGUUAGGGGAUGGGUGUUCUCCUUCCCGUUCCUUCCAUCUGCCAGAAGAGUCCCCCUUUUGCUGGGCUUUGCCCUUUCUAUUCUGAAGGUGCCUUCCAUACAUUCUCUUUCGAUCCACACAACCUCCCUAGGCAGGGCCUUCAGCGAAAAGGAUGAGUGAGUAAACCAGGAUCUGAUCCAGCCCUGAGUCCUUCCAUUGGCAUCACCUUCUGAGCGCCUCCCUGUUGGGAGGAAGAGAUGUUGAAUAAUAUCCUCCGAACUGAGAAGGAACGUUAAAGACUGAAAAAUGAAACAGGCAACUCCAUAAAGUGCGAUCAUGACGUUUCCUGUGGGUUUAAUUUACAGGCAGGAAGGGUCAGGCAGCCCUUCCAUCCAGAGGCACCCCCAGCUGUACUCCAGGCCACUGAAAGGGGUACAGAGGAACUUAAAGGGGCCAAAGCGAAGAACAGAAUCUGCCUACUAAGGAGAAGCACAUCCACACCAAAAGGAACAGGAGAUUUUUACUUCUCAUGGGGGGUGGGAGUGGCCAUUAACCACCUGCAUCAGCACAAGGCACCCAGUUUUUGCAUGAGAUGAAGGCAAGGAUAGAAGGGGACAGGGGCUUACCUGGCGUGGGCACAUUCCUUGUGAGUAGGCUAAAGCUCAGUUAUGCAGAAAGGGGUGGGGAACGGACUGCGGCCCUGAGGUGGAGCUGACAAAAUGGAAUCAGUGAGGUUCAGCCACACACUCCUCCAAAGACUGCAAACAACUUCUCUCUACUGCUGUGCUGAGCAAGUCUCCUCACUUCCCUGAGCCUGUUUCUUCAUCUACGAAACAGGAACGAUCGUGUAUGUGUGACCCAGCUGGUCAUCC
This 1339-nucleotide long non-coding RNA is filed under the name Sus scrofa (pig). RNAcentral's name for it is "lncRNA (ENSSSCG00030041209.1)". Lineage: Eukaryota; Metazoa; Chordata; Mammalia; Artiodactyla; Suidae. The record is from RNAcentral.